UACGGAGGAUGCGAGCGUUAUCCGGAUUUAUUGGGUUUAAAGGGUGCGUAGGCGGGCUGUUAAGUCAGCGGUCAAAUGUCGGGGCUCAACUCCGGGACUGCUUUUGAAACUGUAUGGCUAGAUUGCAGGAGAGGCAAGUGGAAUUCCUAGUGUAGCGGUGAAAUGCGUAGAUAUUAGGAGGAACACCAGUGGCGAAGGCGGCUUGCUGGACUGUAAAUGACGCUGAGGCUCGAAAGCGUGGGGAGCAAACAGG
Molecule: ribosomal RNA, 253 nt
Filed under: uncultured Coprococcus sp.
Lineage: Bacteria; Bacillati; Bacillota; Clostridia; Lachnospirales; Lachnospiraceae
Description: partial 16S ribosomal RNA
Rfam family: Bacterial small subunit ribosomal RNA
Source: RNAcentral